GGUAAAAUUUCAGUUUUGUAUAUAAUUGAUUAUAGUGCUGAUCUUCGUUUUUUGACAAUGGAUUUUAGGGUUGUUUCGGAGAAACUGUAGCAUGCACAACAUACAAUUGUGGAGGUUCUCUUCCUGGGAUUGCAUGGGAGAAGUUGUAGCAUGCACAACAUAUAAUCUUGGAGGUUCUCUUCCUGGGAUUGCAUGGGAGAAACUGUAGCAUGCACAGCAUACAAUUUUAGGAAUUAUCUUCUUGGGGUUGUAUGGAAAAAAGCUGUAACAUGCACAACAUAUAAUUUUGGAGGUUCUUUUCUUGGGGUUGCAUAGGAGAAACUGUAGAAGGCAAAACAUAUAAUUUUGGAGGUUCUUUUCCUGGUUAAGUACAAAUAUUUGCUAGCUUGGUUGACAUAACCGGUCACCAUCUAAUGAGUUUCUCGGAGUUUAGUCCCAGGUCUUAUGGAUGCCCAUGGUCUAAAUUUUUUUAAUUAACAGGCAAGGGAAAGUCCCUCUGUUUUUCAGCCUUACAGCGGAUCAGUAACCAUUACAACGAGUGAAGGUUAUAAUUUAGCUUCUCCGGACUCAAUUAAAGAAAAUCAUAUAAGCCAAGGAAUCAAGAAAGAGUCACUGCUUCGACAUUGGUUACUUCCAUCGAAAUAUAAUCAAAGAAGUGGUAGAUGUGGGUCUUAUUAAAGAUUUUGCGAUGAAUCGGGUCUCCUCUGAUCAGUUUUAAAAUCUCUUGUUAUUGACAGCAUGACUGUUGCAAAAACAGCAUCCAGACCUGGACAAUUGCAAUAAACAGAAAUUAGCAUUUCUCAAUAGCAGAGAGGGGCUGUGGAGGCUCAACCGACAUACACUAGGAGGAGACAGUUGAGUCGCAGUGAACAUCCAUCUAUCAAUUCGCUCUUAAGGCGGAUUAUGUUGGUUGGGGGACAAUUGGAAGAUGUGGAUUUUGGAUGCACUAGAUCAUUCAUUCAGUUGAUUAAGGCGAGGAGAACGGUGUUGACGGAAGAUUAUCAAGUCCUCCCAGUCUCUGACAUCAUGAUGUUCAAGCUGGCAUUUAUGCUUUAAUAAUUUAAUACCAUAAAUUUCACUGCAUUAUAGCUCACCUCUUUUUCGCGCGGAUGGAUGACAGAAUUAUCAUAAAAAUUAUGAUGAGCUAUUUAAUGCAGCUAUUAAAAUUUUACAAUAUUGUUCCUGAAGAGAACUGGAACAAUUUAUGUUAUGGUAAUGAGAUCCCAUAAUUUGAAGAGUCGAUUGUAAUUGUUUCUAAAUUUAAAUAUCGUAUCCAAAGUACAAUUAUAAUUAUUGUUAA
Cryptomeria japonica (Japanese cedar) is the source of this 1300-nucleotide long non-coding RNA. RefSeq lists it as uncharacterized. The transcript has 9 exons. The record is from RefSeq and is a predicted model, not a curated record. Lineage: Eukaryota; Viridiplantae; Streptophyta; Pinopsida; Cupressales; Cupressaceae.